UACGAAGGGGGCUAGCGUUGCUCGGAAUCACUGGGCGUAAAGGGUGCGUAGGCGGGUCUUUAAGUCAGGGGUGAAAUCCUGGAGCUCAACUCCAGAACUGCCUUUGAUACUGGCGAUCUUAGAGUCCGGGAGAGGUGAGUGGAACUCCGAGUGUAGAGGUGAAAUUCGUAGAUAUUCGGAAGAACACCAGUGGCGAAGGCGGCUCACUGGCCCGGUACUGACGCUCAGGUGCGAAAGCGUGGGGAGCAAACAGG
This 254-nucleotide ribosomal RNA is filed under the name uncultured bacterium. RNAcentral's name for it is "partial 16S ribosomal RNA". It matches the Rfam family "Bacterial small subunit ribosomal RNA", at positions 524 to 776 of the family's 1533-position model. The record is from RNAcentral.